Molecule: non-coding RNA, 73 nt
Organism: Bos taurus (domestic cattle)
Lineage: Eukaryota; Metazoa; Chordata; Mammalia; Artiodactyla; Bovidae
Source: Rfam
UCCCUGGUGGUUCAGUGGCUAAGACUCUGUGCUCCCAAUGCAGGGACCCUGGGUUCCAUCCCUGGUCAGGGAA